UCUGUCUCAAAAUAAAUAAAUAAAACAAAAAAUAAAAAUAAAUACAAAAAUAAUGAUAAAGAAGACAGUUACGGUACAGCUAACAUCCUUCUACUUUUUUUUAACAUAACGAACGCUAGAAUGUAAGCUCCAAAUGGGCAGGGACUUUCGUCAGUUUUUUUUUUUAACAGACUGACUGACUCACCCACCCUCUCUCCACUUGUGAGUUUUGUUUCCUGCCGAAACAGUAUGCUGGAGUAGCGUAGGCACAGAGUAGGUGAUCAACCCGUGUUUGCUGGCCGUGAAUUUGUUGAAUGAAUACCAAGUGUCUGCUACGUUCAAGGGAUUUUAUUAGGAGCUGUAUGGACCGAAAGGAUGUACGGGGCGUGGCAGCCAUCCUUAGGAGUUCACAGCCCAGCGGGGAGGACCAGGAUGUGUCCAGAAGCAGCUAACAUGCAAGACACUUCGCGAGUGCUCGGUGAGUGCCAUAAAUAAUGCAACAAAGAAUGUUUUUCUCACUUUGAAUCAGUUUAUGGAAUAAGCAAAAGUUACAUAUACUUUGGUCAGUAAAUCUUGGUCCUUUCUUAUUUAAAAUUUUUUUUACACAGAGAGAAAAAUUUUUAAACAUGCUUUCACAUAAUUGUACUUUAACAGGAGAUAAAUUUGGAUUUGGAAGUGUUCUGUACUGAAAGAAAUACUGGCCCUUUUAGAAACUUUUUUUACAGUUUCAAAUGAUCUCAUCUCAAAGAUAGUCUGUUUCAGACAGAGACAUCUGAUAUCUAACAGGGCCUGUGGUGGCUGCUAAUGAAACAAUGGAUUUCCCAGGAGAGAGGAGAGAGAGAAUGCCACACGGCUAUGUCAUGAACUGCUCUGUUCCGGUUGUCCCACCAAGGAAGGCACAGGACUGCUAGGAGAACACAGAAAGGCUGUCCUUUUUCUCUCCUGCUUCCGCCUCCUCUGGGACAUUCAUCCCUCUUUGGGCUGAAGCAGGGAGAGAUCAGGGAAGCCACCACGUUGCCAGAAGGGCCUCUCGAAGCAGGAGCAGUUUAAAGAAAACCAAUGGACUAUCUGAUUGGUGUUGUAGGUUUUUGAUGUUACAAACAAGGAUGAACCAUGCCAGAACACGCAGAAGAUGAGACUACCAUAUAAAAGAUGCCAUCCCUAUACCAGAAGGGAAGAAACAUUCAUAUCACCAGAGAUGGGGAGUCCAGGCCAAGAGAAAUCUGCACAAACCUUGUUAACCUAACCCUCAUCUUCCUUGUUACUUCUCCAUGAGUGCCACUCUUUGUCCAACCUGGUAUAUGAGCACUUAGGUCUAGUCACAUCUUUGGGUCUUCUAUUUUUUCUUAUGAUGGUUCCCACAUAUGUGUAAAUAAAAUUCGUAUGCAUUUCUCCUGUUAAUCUGUUUUGUCAGUUUAGUUAGGCCCAGCUGGAGACCCUAAGAGGGCAGAGGAGAAAUUUGCCUCCCCUGUAGUACCAAAUUGGGGAAUGAAGAAUGACCAGCACUGCAGGGCUGGGAUUAAGCAAAAGGAAAUUGAAUUGACCACAGACAGUUAAGGAAGCAUAUCCGAGCACUUGGGCACCUGUUACCUUUUGGUCUGCAAAGAGCCAGCUCUGUGUGUGU
Microcebus murinus (gray mouse lemur) is the source of this 1603-nucleotide non-coding RNA. The record is from RefSeq and is a predicted model, not a curated record. NCBI's taxonomy places the organism in Eukaryota, Metazoa, Chordata, Mammalia, Primates, Cheirogaleidae.